AUGGUGGCGCAGGCUGGGCGGGUCCGGCAGCCGCCCGAUGACCAGCGGCUUCAGCUUGUGGCUGCCGGUCAGGUUGGCGGCCAGCAGCACCGUUACGCGGUCGCCCCGCCAUCGCCGGCCGCAGCCCCCUGCUCCAGGGUCCCCUGCGCCCGGGGGCGCAGCCUGCUCCGGAAGCAGCUUCCAGUAGAGGCCGGUGACGUUGGCGUUGUAGAUCUGCUCGUCGCCGUAGCCGCCCUCGGCGGGGGGCGGCGGGGCCGGGGCGCGGUCGGGCAGGGGGCCGGCGCCGGAGGGCAGCGUGGGCUCCUCCUUGACCGGCGGGCCGGGCGCGGGGCCCGGGGCGAGGGGCCCGGCCUCGCCGUAGAAGCGCUGGCUGGAGAUGCCGUGGCGCUUCUGCCAGCGCCAGAACCAGCCGUGGCUGGCCUUGAAGGUGCACUCGGGCCCGUAGAUCUGGCGCGCGAAGGCCUCGGCCUGCGCCUGGAUGAGCGGCCCAGACAGCGGCACCCCGUGCUGGCGCAGUGCCAGGAACCAGGCGUACACGGCGCGGUCGAUCUCCUCCUCGUUGGCCAGCCGCAUCUUCUUGCGCUGAGUGCCCACCUCGCCGCCCAGCUGCUCCAGGAACCAGCGCAGCUUGGGCUCGUCCUUGAGCCAGCCGCGCAGCGUCCCACCCGGCACGCCGAAGUCGCGGCACACACUGGCCUGCCGCUCGCCGCCCUUGACGCGCUCGAUGGCCUGCAGCUUGUCCUUGAUGGAGUAGGCCUUGCGGAAGGCCAUCUUCACGGCCACGCGGGGCCGCGGCCCGGGCGCGGGGGGCGGCGGCCGUGCAGCGGGGACGGGGGCCGGGGCGGGCACAGAGGGCCCGGGCGGGGGACGGCGGCCGCGGUGCGGGACCGGGCCGGCCGGGGGACCCGCGGGGUACAUGGCGGCGGCGGCGAGACCGGCGCCGCGGGUCGCGGGAGCCACACGCCCAGCCGCUCGGGGCGGGGCACUCGGGGGCGGGGCCGCGCGGGUCCCUCCCCUUUGUCCCGCAGCUUGGCGGGCGCACGCGCGCUGACCCAGGCCGGCCCGGCCCCGCCCCGCGCCUGCGCACUGGCCGCCUCGUGCGUCACUCGGCGCGUGCCGGCCUCCGGCCCCGCCCCACCGGCGACACCACUGGCCUCGAGACGCAGGGGGGCGCGCGCGCAGCCGCCCGUGCCCGGCAUUUGUGCAGACUCCUCCGCUGAAGAGCGGCCUCCGCAGUCGUCUCCAACGGAAUUCUGCCUUUGA
Molecule: long non-coding RNA, 1263 nt
Filed under: Papio anubis (olive baboon)
Lineage: Eukaryota; Metazoa; Chordata; Mammalia; Primates; Cercopithecidae
Description: lncRNA (ENSPANG00000001049.3)
Source: RNAcentral